UAGGGAAUAUUGGGCAAUGGGCGAAAGCCUGACCCAGCAACGCCGCGUGCGCGAUGAAGGUCUUCGGAUCGUAAAGCGCUUUUCUGAGAGAUGAGAAAGGACAGUAUCUCAGGAAUAAGUCUCGGCUAACUACGUG
Molecule: ribosomal RNA, 136 nt
Filed under: uncultured bacterium
Lineage: Bacteria
Description: partial 16S ribosomal RNA
Rfam family: Bacterial small subunit ribosomal RNA
Source: RNAcentral